RNAcentral lists this ribosomal RNA (375 nucleotides) under uncultured bacterium. RNAcentral describes it as "bacterial SSU rRNA". It matches the Rfam family "Bacterial small subunit ribosomal RNA", at positions 790 to 1167 of the family's 1533-position model. The record is from RNAcentral.
GUAGUCCACGCUGUAAACGAUGAGUACUAGGUGUUGGGGUGAGAACCUCGGUGCCGCAGCUAACGCAAUAAGUACUCCACCUGGGAAGUACGAUCGCAAGAUUGAAACUCAAAGGAAUUGACGGGGGCCCGCACAAGCGGUGGAGCAUGUGGUUUAAUUCGAAGCAACGCGAAGAACCUUACCAAGGCUUGACAUCCUUCUUGAUAUGCUAGAGAUAGCAUAGCCCUUCGGGGGAGAAGAGACAGGUGGUGCAUGGUUGUCGUCAGCUCGUGUCGUGAGAUGUUGGGUUAAGUCCCGCAACGAGCGCAACCCUUAUCUUUAGUAGCCAGUGCGUAAAGGCAGGCACUCUAGAGAGACUGCCGUGGAUAACACGGA